AGAAGGGAAAAUAAUAGAGAGAGAGAGGAGGAGGAAAAAGAAUAAAAAAGAAAAGGGGAGAUAUUCAACAUAACUAUCAAUUCCUUGUUUCUCCCCUCUUUCUCUUUCUUCUCUCUUCUUCUUUUUCUUCCAUUUAC
This 137-nucleotide microRNA precursor is filed under the name Prunus dulcis (almond). RNAcentral's name for it is "sRNA ncRNA". Lineage: Eukaryota; Viridiplantae; Streptophyta; Magnoliopsida; Rosales; Rosaceae. The record is from RNAcentral.